This 74-nucleotide transfer RNA is filed under the name Candidatus Acetothermia bacterium. Its description in RNAcentral is "tRNA-Gln". It matches the Rfam family "tRNA". Rfam says of the family: Transfer RNA (tRNA) molecules are approximately 80 nucleotides in length. Their secondary structure includes four short double-helical elements and three loops (D, anti-codon, and T loops). The record is from RNAcentral. Lineage: Bacteria; Candidatus Bipolaricaulota.
UAGGGCGUCGUCUAACGGUAGGACACGGGACUUUGGAUCCCGUUGUGGAGGUUCGAAUCCUCCCGCCCUAGCUA